Molecule: ribosomal RNA, 253 nt
Filed under: uncultured bacterium
Lineage: Bacteria
Description: partial 16S ribosomal RNA
Rfam family: Bacterial small subunit ribosomal RNA
Source: RNAcentral
UACGUAGGGUCCGAGCGUUGUCCGGAAUUAUUGGGCGUAAAGGGCUCGUAGGCGGUUUGUCGCGUCGGGAGUGAAAACACGGGGCUUAACCCCGUGCCUGCUUCCGAUACGGGCAGACUAGAGGUAUGCAGGGGAGAACGGAAUUCCUGGUGUAGCGGUGAAAUGCGCAGAUAUCAGGAGGAACACCGGUGGCGAAGGCGGUUCUCUGGGCCUUACCUGACGCUGAGGAGCGAAAGCGUGGGGAGCGAACAGG